This 430-nucleotide ribosomal RNA is filed under the name uncultured archaeon. RNAcentral describes it as "bacterial SSU rRNA". It matches the Rfam family "Archaeal small subunit ribosomal RNA", at positions 474 to 903 of the family's 1478-position model. The record is from RNAcentral.
UACCAGCUCUCCGAGUUGUUAGGGAUGAUUAUUGGGCUUAAAGCGUCCGUAGCUGGCUUAGCAAGUCUCCUGUUAAAUUCAGCGACCUAAUCGUUGAGCCGCGGGAGAUACUACUAGGCUAGGAGGCGGGAGAGGUCGACGGUACUUUCGGGGUAGGGGUGAAAUCCUAUAAUCCCGGGAGGACCACCAGUGGCGAAGGCUGUCGACUAGAACGCGCUCGACGGUGAGGGACGAAAGCUGGGGGAGCGAACCGGAUUAGAUACCCGGGUAGUCCCAGCUGUAAACUAUGCGGGCUAGGUGUUGGGGUGGCUACGGGCCACUUCAGUGCCGCAGGAAAGCCAUUAAGCCCGCCGCCUGGGGAGUACGGCCGCAAGGCUGAAACUUAAAGGAAUUGGCGGGGGAGCACCACAAGGCGUGAAGCUUGCGGUUC